This 361-nucleotide RNase P RNA is filed under the name Marinobacter nanhaiticus D15-8W. RNAcentral describes it as "RNase P RNA component class A". It matches the Rfam family "Bacterial RNase P class A". Rfam says of the family: Ribonuclease P (RNase P) is a ubiquitous endoribonuclease, found in archaea, bacteria and eukarya as well as chloroplasts and mitochondria. Lineage: Bacteria; Pseudomonadati; Pseudomonadota; Gammaproteobacteria; Pseudomonadales; Marinobacteraceae. The record is from RNAcentral.
UGAGCUCGCCGGGCAGUCGCCGCUCUAGGUUCUUGUGACCUGGAGGGGAGGAAAGUCCGGGCUCCAUAGGGCAAGGUGCCAGGUAAUGCCUGGGCGGCGUGAGCCGACGGAAAGUGCAGCAGAAAGGAAACCGCCUAAGCACCUUCGGGUGCCGGUAAGGUUGAAAAGGUGCGGUAAGAGCGCACCGCGUGACUGGCAACAGUUCACGGCGAUGGUAAACCCCACCUGGAGCAAGACCAAAUAGGAGUCCGAUGGCGUGGCCCGCGCUGGACUCGGGUAGGUUGCUUGAGGCCUGUGGUGACGCAGGUCCUAGAUGAAUGACUGCUCUCGACAGAACCCGGCUUACAGGCGAGCUCUUUUU